UGCAGAGGUACUGCUUCCUAAACUGGAGGU
Molecule: non-coding RNA, 30 nt
Filed under: Homo sapiens (human)
Lineage: Eukaryota; Metazoa; Chordata; Mammalia; Primates; Hominidae
Source: RNAcentral